UACAGAGGAUGCAAGCGUUAUCCGGAAUGAUUGGGCGUAAAGCGUCUGUAGGUGGCUUUUUAAGUCCGCCGUCAAAUCCCCAGGCUUUACCUGGGAACUGCGUCGGAUACUGGAUGGCUUGAAUCCGGGAGAGGGAUGCGGAAUUCCAGGUGUAGCGGUGAAAUGCGUAGAUAUCUGGAGGAACACCGGUGGCGAAGGCGGCAUCCUGGACCGGCAUUGACGCUGAGGAGCGAAAGCCAGGGGAGCAAACGGG
RNAcentral lists this ribosomal RNA (253 nucleotides) under uncultured bacterium. Its description in RNAcentral is "partial 16S ribosomal RNA". It matches the Rfam family "Bacterial small subunit ribosomal RNA", at positions 524 to 776 of the family's 1533-position model. The record is from RNAcentral.